Molecule: non-coding RNA, 1447 nt
Organism: Drosophila virilis
Lineage: Eukaryota; Metazoa; Arthropoda; Insecta; Diptera; Drosophilidae
Source: RefSeq, a predicted model, not a curated record
CUACUGUCUGCAUAGUUGACCCUUUGCUUUUCAAUACACGAAUAUUAAUUGCAAUUAAAACUCGCAAAAAUGCAUUCUAAGUGUGGUCGCGUAUCACUAAUAGCUUUUUGGCAAAAACUAGGUGUAGCCAGAUCGGGUGUGUCUAUGUGCAGUGUUGUGUUGCCAUCCAAUUGGAAACCUCAUAAAUAAUAUGCAAAAGUUGUAAUUGACAGUGUCCACAAAAUCAACAGUGUGCACAAUAACAACAAGCAGCAGCAGUGGUUACAUCACAACCGAAAAGCACAGAAGGAGCAGCGGCAGGAGGUGGGGCAGCUGCAUGAAAUUGCAGUUGCGGCCUUCAACGCAAAAAGUAAAGAAAAGAAGUGCACAACAGACAGCGAAGACACAACGGUGGCAACGCCAACAGCUGCGACAUGUUAAGCCCAUUUACAACAAAAAUAAAAGAAAAGAAACGAAAUGAAAUGAAAAAAAAAAAAACGAAACUUGAAAUUAGGUAAAAAUACACAGCGCAAAUCAAGGAAAAUGAAACUGAAAAUAAUGAAGAAUGCGCAACGUCAGCAACAAUAAGAGCCAAAGCGUAACUCGGCUCAGACACAGGCACAAGCCCGGCUCAGACCAGGCCCAGUCCCAGUCGCAAUCCCGGGCCUGUGCAUGUGCAGUGGGUCCACUUGACUUGGUUUUGUUUCGGUCCCAGACUCGAUUGCGCUUCUACAAAUGAAUUGAAAUGGAAAUUGAAAUUCCUGCAACGUGCGCCAACAACAAUGCGGCGACUUGUGGAUCAAUUUCUUUGGCGCGAAGAUGUCGUGGACGCAGGCGCUGCAGGCGACGUAAACACCUUUCGCCGUUGCUGGAGUCCCUGUCGGUUGCAUAAUUAAUGGCAUCUUCUCAUUGAUCUCGACGUUUAUUUAGGUUAUGCAUGGCCAACGUUUGGCAUAUGAAGUGGAACAAGUUUUUUUAAUGACCGGCUGCAUGAGCUGAAGGACUUGUAUCGACACAAAUGUUCAAUAAAUAAAAACAUUUAUAUACAUUACCGCCAAUGGGAAAAUGGGACAUGCAGCCAGUUUGAACGUCUAUAUUAAGAUGUACAUUACAAAUAACUAGUUUUUCAUUACAGUCCAAAGCGCGCUAUUUCCUGACGUCUUUUCCAUUUGGGUAAAACGCUGGAAGGUCUCUACUUAGAGAGUAACUCACAAGGCCCAUGCUACUCCAAGGUCUCAGACUCAUGCUCUUGCAGCUGGAGAUGGCGGCAGGAAGACGUGCUGUCCAAGGACUCCAAACACUACCUAGUAUAAAUUACAUUUAAGUUAAUUAAAUUCUUAACUUGAAACUAGUUUUAAACGAUACAAAUGCGGCAUUUUUAGGCCUUUCCAAUCACUUGUAGACUUCGAUUGUUUAGGCCUGGCAACAUAUUCACCUGGAAUGUGGCAACAUAACAAUUACAGCAAAA